UACGUAGGUGGCAAGCGUUGUCCGGAUUUACUGGGUGUAAAGGGUGCGCAGGCGGAUCUGUAAGUCAGAGGUGAAAUCUCACAGCUUAACUGUGAAACUGCCUUUGAUACUGCAGAUCUUGAGUUCGGGAGAGGUUGAUGGAAUUCCAGGUGUAGCGGUGAAAUGCGUAGAUAUCUGGAAGAACACCAGUGGCGAAGGCGGUCAACUGGCCCGUAACUGACGCUGAGGAGCGAAAGCGUGGGGAGCGAACAGG
This 253-nucleotide ribosomal RNA is filed under the name uncultured bacterium. RNAcentral's name for it is "partial 16S ribosomal RNA". It matches the Rfam family "Bacterial small subunit ribosomal RNA", at positions 524 to 776 of the family's 1533-position model. The record is from RNAcentral.